AUAUCUGCCAUGUUGCAUCGAAAAGGAGGCUGACCCUUUUCUUCCUGUUUCCUGUCCGUAGCGCGUCUGCAGUUUGUUGAUCGUCACUUUUGAUAAACAAACUUGUUUAAUAUUCAGACGUCAUGGAGGCAGGAGGCGAAGACAAGAUUACAGACUAUUUAACCCUUCUUUCCCCCCAGGACGCUGAACAGUCCAGUGUUGCUGUUUUUGAUCUGGGACUCGAACAAGAAGAUCAAGAAGAAAACCAGACCUCGAAAAGACUGCCUUCCAAGGUUUCGAAAAAAAGAAA
This is a long non-coding RNA of Spea bombifrons (plains spadefoot toad), 289 nucleotides long. RefSeq lists it as uncharacterized. Lineage: Eukaryota; Metazoa; Chordata; Amphibia; Anura; Pelobatidae. The record is from RefSeq and is a predicted model, not a curated record. The transcript is spliced from 2 exons.